Chinchilla lanigera (long-tailed chinchilla) is the source of this 384-nucleotide long non-coding RNA. RefSeq lists it as uncharacterized. The record is from RefSeq and is a predicted model, not a curated record. Lineage: Eukaryota; Metazoa; Chordata; Mammalia; Rodentia; Chinchillidae. The transcript is spliced from 2 exons.
GACCAAGGCUUGAGUCUUCAUUACUCAGAGUAGUACAAGAGCAGCAGCAGUGUUUUCCAAGAGCAUGUGGGGAACGCAGAAUUAGGCUGUCUCAGACUGUGCACGCAGUGUGAGUAGUUUAGAACAUCUGCAGGUGACCCUGGUGUGAGGACGGCUCUGGGUUAAGUCACUUAAGGUCCUGCAUAGCAGCCGAGCCAAGACAGCCUGGUGAUAUCCAGCAGCUCUAAAAUGUAUGCUCUAGGAAAUGAGCACUCUUCUGUGUUAUGAGUGAAAAUAACAGAGGAGACCUCCCACCUUGGAAUGUUUCUCUACUGCCACGUCUGCUUCAGAGUUACACAAACAGCAUGAACUUUCCAACUGUAUAAUAAAAGGGUGUUGUCAUGA